CGGGGUGAGUAACGCGUGGGUAACCUGCCUUGUACUGGGGGACGAACAGUUGGAAACGACUGCUAAUACCGCAUAAGCGCACAGCUUCGCAUGAAGCAGUGCGAAAAACUCCGGUGGUACAAGAUGGACCCGCGUCUGAUUAGCUGGUUGGUGAGGUAACGGCCCACCAAGGCGACGAUCAGUAGCCGGCCUGAGAGGGUGAACGGCCACAUUGGGACUGAGACACGGCCCAA
This 233-nucleotide ribosomal RNA is filed under the name uncultured bacterium. RNAcentral describes it as "partial 16S ribosomal RNA". It matches the Rfam family "Bacterial small subunit ribosomal RNA", at positions 104 to 334 of the family's 1533-position model. The record is from RNAcentral.